GAGACCCUUAGGAAACUAGGGGUGCUCCAUCUGGAAGAAUCUGGAGACAGGUGCUGCAUGGCUGUCGUCAGCUCGUGUCGUGAGAUGUUGGGUUAAGUCCCGCAACGAGCGCAACCCUUGCCUUUAGUUGCCAGCAGUUCGGCUGGGCACUCUAAAGGGACUGCCGGUGUUAAACCGGAGGAAGGUGGGGAUGACGUCAAGUCCUCAUGGCCUUUAUGACCAGGGCUACACACGUACUACAAUGGCCGAUACAAAGGGCAGCGACACUGCGAGGUGAAGCCAAUCCCGUAAAAUCGGUCUCAGUCCGGAUUGGAGUCUGCAACUCGACUCCAUGAAGUUGGAAUCGCUAGUAAUCGUGGAUCAGCAUGCCACGGUGAAUACGUUCCCGGGCCUU
This 394-nucleotide ribosomal RNA is filed under the name uncultured Desulfobulbus sp. RNAcentral describes it as "bacterial SSU rRNA". It matches the Rfam family "Bacterial small subunit ribosomal RNA", at positions 992 to 1382 of the family's 1533-position model. The record is from RNAcentral. Lineage: Bacteria; Pseudomonadati; Thermodesulfobacteriota; Desulfobulbia; Desulfobulbales; Desulfobulbaceae.